Molecule: ribosomal RNA, 497 nt
Filed under: uncultured bacterium
Lineage: Bacteria
Description: partial 16S ribosomal RNA
Rfam family: Bacterial small subunit ribosomal RNA
Source: RNAcentral
GAUGAACGCUGGCGGCGUGCCUAAUACAUGCAAGUCGAGCGAACAGACGAGGAGCUUGCUCCUCUGACGUUAGCGGCGGACGGGUGAGUAACACGUGGAUAACCUACCUAUAAGACUGGGAUAACUUCGGGACACCGGAGCUAACACCGGAUAAUAUAUUGAACCGCAUGGUUCAAUAGUGAAAGACGGUUUUGCUGUCACUUAUAGAUGGAUCCGCGCCGCAUUAGCUAGUUGGUAAGGUAACGGCUUACAAAGGCAACGAUGCGUAGCCGACCUGAGGGGGUGGUCGGCCACACUGGAACUGAGACACGGUCCAGACUCCUACGGGAGGCAGCAGUAGGGACUCUUCCGCAAUGGGCGAGAGCUUGACGGAGCAACGCCGCGUGAGUGAUGAAGGUCUUCGGAUCGUAAAACUCUGUUAUUAGGGAAGAACAAAUGUGUAAGUAACUGUGCACGUCUUGACGGUACCUAAUCAGAAAGCCACGGCUAACUACGUG